This 279-nucleotide ribosomal RNA is filed under the name uncultured bacterium. RNAcentral describes it as "partial 16S ribosomal RNA". It matches the Rfam family "Bacterial small subunit ribosomal RNA", at positions 506 to 784 of the family's 1533-position model. The record is from RNAcentral.
UGCCAGCCGCCGCGGUAAUACGGAGGAUGCAGGCGUUAUCCGGAUUUAUUAGGUUUAAAGGGUGCGCAGGCGGCCCGGUAAGUCAGUGGUGAAAGUUUGCAGCUUAACUGUAAAAUUGCCAUUGAUACUGUCGGGCUUGAAUAUAGUAGAGGUAGGCGGAAUGUGUAGUGUAGCGGUGAAAUGCUUAGAUAUUACACAGAACACCGAUUGCGAAGGCAGCUUACUAUGCUAUUAUUGACGCUGAGUCACGAAAGCGUGGGGAGCGAACAGGAUUAGAUA